This 450-nucleotide ribosomal RNA is filed under the name uncultured bacterium. Its description in RNAcentral is "bacterial SSU rRNA". It matches the Rfam family "Bacterial small subunit ribosomal RNA", at positions 355 to 796 of the family's 1533-position model. The record is from RNAcentral.
UCGAGAAUCAUUCGCAAUGGGCGAAAGCCUGACGAUGCGACGCCGUGUGAGCGAAGAAGGCCUUCGGGUUGUAAAGCUCUUUCGCUUGGGAACAAGACGAGGCAGAUAACACCUGCCGAGUUUGAGGGUACUAGGUAAAGAAGCACCGGCUAACUACGUGCCAGCAGCUGCGGUAAUACGUAGGGUGCAAGCAUUAAUCGGAGUUAUUGGGCGUAAAGGGCGCGUAGGCGGUUUUGUAAGUCUCGAUGUGAAAUUCCUGGGCUCAACCUAGGAGCUGCAUGGGAAACUACAAAACUCGAGGAUGGACGGAGAGAACGGAAUUCCACAAGUAGCGGUGAAAUGCGUAGAUAUGUGGAAGAACACCUGUGGCGAAGGCGGUUCUCUAGUUUAUUCCUGACGCUGAGGCGCGAAAGCAAGGGGAGCAAACAGGAUUAGAUACCCCCGUAGUCC